AACAGACUUUGUGAGAAUAGCAACUAAAUUAAAAAAAUCGUUGUCUUUGAUCUUUGGUUGAGAUAAGACAGGAAGUAGUUUGUCUAACGCUUCCUUACGAUCCUUCCAUUUCGAAGAAGCCAUUAAAGUUUCCAGGUUAGGAUCCACAUUGGGUAAAACGUCCACUUCUUCUACCAAAUCAAAUUGAUCAUCUGACGGUUCUGGUUCACUUUCUUCAUUCUCGAGAGCAGGUUGCUCUUCUACCUGUGUUUCAACAUUCGGCUCUGAUGUAGGUUGCUGACUUUUCAAAAAACGAGUUUGUUUGGGAGGCUCUGUUGGUAGCUCAGCAAAAAGAGACUCAAGCUCUUUCGUCUGAACUGGUCUUAGAUCUUUAAAUAGUAAAUCUUUUAAAGGAUCCCCUGUCCACCGAUAAAUGUUUACAGUUAAACGAGAUGCUUCCUUACGAACAUUUUUAUCAGCAUGACCAAACAAGUUGGAGAUAUGUGGAAUAAUCAUUUUUGAAGGAAUAACUUUAGCACCAAACUGCUCAACUAGACUAGCAAUGGCAGCGACAUUAGAAGCUAUUACCUUCGGGGAUCGAGCCGAUAAAGAAGGAAUGAUUGAUUCUAUAACUGGCGCAGCUGAAUCUGCUUCAACUAAUAGCAUAAGAGCUUCUAGUGCAUUUUCCCUUGUACCUGCGCGAGGUGAUGUUAAGCAUUUCUCUGAAAUUGAAAGGACUGAUAUUUCACGAGCUUUAAGUAAAUGAGAAGGAUCGGAAAACCUGCAAUAAGCUACAAACGCUGCGGUACCAGCUUCUUGAGCUGCUACGUUGCUAUCAGUCAGCACUGAUUUCCACAAUUCACUCUGAUUAUUCCAAAGCUCAAAGCAAUUAUCCGAACCAUCUGCUGAAAGUGAAAACGAUUUGCUGCACUCUUCAUAAGCAGAUAGACGCACUUUCCAUACUUUAUGUACUAUUCUUGAUUCUAGAGGAAGUUUGGAGUAGUCUUCUUCUUGAUCUUGGCUCAUGUUCCUCCGGGGUGCCAAAAAUUAAAGGAGCGUAUAAGAUAAAUAAACAGCAAAUGCUCUCCCAAAACUCCAAUUCUAAAACUCAAAAGUUGUACUUAGUACCUUUUCUCCCUUUUUUGAAUAAAUAAUAAGUAAUUACUCGUUAAGCCUGUAGGCAAAUACAACACUGUCAAACUUUACAGAAUAUCGAUUUAGCAAGGCCGGAGUAUAUAAGUAUUAACUCGUUGAGUCAACAAAUUCAAACC
Molecule: non-coding RNA, 1250 nt
Organism: Schizosaccharomyces pombe (fission yeast)
Lineage: Eukaryota; Fungi; Ascomycota; Schizosaccharomycetes; Schizosaccharomycetales; Schizosaccharomycetaceae
Source: the annotation of a GenBank genome assembly